AUGAAUCCAUUAAUUACUUCAAUAGUUGAUGGCUUAUGUACUAUAACUGCCACUUAUUCAAUACAUUUUUUGUUACAAGAAUCUAAAUACCACAUAAUUGUAAACAUAAUAAGCAUAUUACAUGACAAUUUCAAUCCUUCAUUUGAAGGCUUUCUAGUUUCAUUUGAGCCAUACUUCAGCUGUAACAAACCCUCUGCACUCUGCAGCUUUCUCUAUAAUGAUGCUUCUGUCCAGAAAACUCACUUAAAUUGUAGUUUCCCAUUCUUGACACCAUCAUCCAAAUAUGCAAUAGCCAAUUAUUGA
Vicia faba (fava bean) is the source of this 303-nucleotide non-coding RNA. NCBI's taxonomy places the organism in Eukaryota, Viridiplantae, Streptophyta, Magnoliopsida, Fabales, Fabaceae. The record is from the annotation of a GenBank genome assembly.